CAGUAUGUGCUGAUGACCCUGAAUUCCGCCAUUAUACAGACAUCAAGGAGAUUCCCCCACACCGUCUGGCUGAAAUUCGCCGAUUCUUCGAAGACUGUAUCCUCCUAAAUGCUUAAUAUUCGAUUCCAAACACGGUUUAUGAAAACAUUUUGUCUGUUUUUCUUCAUUCUUAUACCACACAUUCUGCUUUUCCCUUGACAUCUCUUGAACUAAAAAGACAAGAAGAACGAAAACAAGAAAGUCGAUGUGGAAGACUUCCUGCCAGCAGAAGCUGCCAUUGAUGCCAUUAAGUACUCCAU
This 299-nucleotide long non-coding RNA is filed under the name Cucumis sativus (cucumber). RNAcentral describes it as "long non-coding RNA (CSAT_LNC002512)". The record is from RNAcentral. Lineage: Eukaryota; Viridiplantae; Streptophyta; Magnoliopsida; Cucurbitales; Cucurbitaceae.